Molecule: transfer RNA, 76 nt
Filed under: Lachnospiraceae bacterium OttesenSCG-928-E19
Lineage: Bacteria; Bacillati; Bacillota; Clostridia; Lachnospirales; Lachnospiraceae
Description: tRNA-Arg
Rfam family: tRNA
About the family: Transfer RNA (tRNA) molecules are approximately 80 nucleotides in length. Their secondary structure includes four short double-helical elements and three loops (D, anti-codon, and T loops). Further hydrogen bonds mediate the characteristic L-shaped molecular structure. tRNAs have two regions of fundamental functional importance: the anti-codon, which is responsible for specific mRNA codon recognition, and the 3' end, to which the tRNAs corresponding amino acid is attached (by aminoacyl-tRNA synthetases). tRNAs cope with the degeneracy of the genetic code in two manners: having more than one tRNA (with a specific anti-codon) for a particular amino acid; and 'wobble' base-pairing, i.e. permitting non-standard base-pairing at the 3rd anti-codon position.
Source: RNAcentral
GUUCCCAUAGAUCAAUUGGAUAGAUCAGGUCCCUCCGAAGGAUCAGAUACAGGUUCGAGUCCUGUUGGGAACACCA